AUUGAACGCUGGCGGCAGGCCUAACACAUGCAAGUCGGGCGAGCGGCGGACGGGUGAGUAAUGUCUGGGAAUCUGCCUGAUGGAGGGGGAUAACUACUGGAAACGGUAGCUAAUACCGCAUACUAUCGGAUGUGCCCAUAGGGGAUUAGCUAGUUGGUGGGGUAAAGGCUCACCAAGCCGACGAUCCCUAGCUGGUCUGAGAGGAUGACCAGCCACACUGGAACUGAGACACGGCCCAGAAUCCUACGUGAGGCAGAAGUGGGGAAUAUUGCGCAAUGGGGGCAACCCUGAUGCAGCCAUGCCGCGUGAAUGAAGAAGGCCUGCGGGUUGUAAAGUUCUUUCGGUAGCGAGGCGUUAACUACAGAAGAAGCACCGGCUAACUCCGUGCCAGCAGCCGCGGUAAUAC
RNAcentral lists this ribosomal RNA (406 nucleotides) under uncultured bacterium. RNAcentral's name for it is "partial 16S ribosomal RNA". It matches the Rfam family "Bacterial small subunit ribosomal RNA", at positions 30 to 526 of the family's 1533-position model. The record is from RNAcentral.